Molecule: non-coding RNA, 121 nt
Organism: Picea glauca (white spruce)
Lineage: Eukaryota; Viridiplantae; Streptophyta; Pinopsida; Pinales; Pinaceae
Source: Rfam
ACAUGCCUACAACAUAGCAUUAAUGCACUGGAUCCCAUUAGAACUUUGCAGUUAAGUGCACUCAGGAUAGAGUAGUACUAGGAUGGGUGACCGCCUAGGAAGUCCUAGUAUUUUACAUGCC